This 495-nucleotide ribosomal RNA is filed under the name uncultured bacterium. Its description in RNAcentral is "bacterial SSU rRNA". It matches the Rfam family "Bacterial small subunit ribosomal RNA", at positions 8 to 518 of the family's 1533-position model. The record is from RNAcentral.
AGGGUUCGAUUCUGGCUCAGGAUGAACGCUGGCGGCGUGCUUAACACAUGCAAGUCGAACGAUUAACCCACCUUCGGAUGGUUAUAAAGUGGCGAACGGGUGAGUAACACGUGACCAACCUGCCUUCCACAUCGGGAUAACUAAGGGAAACUGUAGCUAAUACCGAAUACUCCGCGCCCUCCGCAUGGCGGGCCCGGGAAAGCUCCGGCGGUGGAAGAUGGGGUCGCGGCCCCAUUAGGUAGUUGGUGGGGUAACGGCCUACCAAGCCGGCGAUGGGUAGCCGGGUUGAGAGACUGAUCGGCCACAUUGGGACUGAGAUACGGCCCAGACUCCUACGGGAGGCAGCAGUGGGGAAUUUUGCGCAAUGGGGGGAAACCCUGACGCAGCAACGCCGCGUGCGGGAUGAAGGCCUUCGGGUUGUAAACCGCUUUCAGUAGGGAAGAAGUUGACGGUACCUACAGAAGAAGCUCCGGCUAAAUACGUGCCAGCCGCCGC